RNAcentral lists this long non-coding RNA (811 nucleotides) under Marmota monax (woodchuck). Lineage: Eukaryota; Metazoa; Chordata; Mammalia; Rodentia; Sciuridae. The record is from RNAcentral.
GUCGCCUUGGACUGUUUUAGGCUGCAAGGAGCUGCACAUGCCCCUCGGUUCUUCCCUUCCUCACUAUUUUACUGGUCCCUGGGCCAGGGGUUGGGCUGGAAUGGGGCACCCCUUGCUGCAUCUAGGGGUGGAGGGGACCGGCUGGAGGAGAUGGUGUUCCCCCCCCCCAGUGGGGCAGGGGUGCUGCAGCUACCUGUCUGGACACAUCCUUAGUGCCUGGGAACCCCGGAGCCACCCUGAGGCCCGGGUCCCUUUCAUCCCCCUUCUCAUGCUCCUGCCCCUAGGGUUUCCGGAGAGAGCUGAGAUGAGGUGGGGGAGGCCGGUGGUCCCUCUUAGAGGGAGUGUCUUAUCUAGCUUGGAGAGUUGCUGAAAUAACUCCUUUGAUGUGCCUCCUUAUUAACCCUUCCAGACCUGGUCUGAUAGGGCCACAAAGGAAGAGGGGACAACUUCUAAGUCAGAGUUGUGGGUGGAUGACAGAGUUAGAUGGUAGGUAGGGUGAGCAGAGAAGUCCCUUUCUAAAAUGAGAGAUAGGAAUGGGGGAGGACUGCAGAUAGAAGAAACUAACCUUACCCUCUUUAACUUUGGUUCAGUCCUUAACUCUUGGUCAUUUAAAAAAUCAGGUGCAGUUAGUCCACCUGCCCCAUUCAUUACCCUAGGUAGGAUUUUAAGGCAGCCAAUAGCACCAGCUCUAGAGUUGAUGUAGUUCCUUAUCCUAGGUCCCCAUCAUCUGCCUUCCUCUUGGGAUGGAAGGGAGAGAGUUACUUAGGCUGGUUGGGGAUAGGUAAGGGUGUCCCUGCAGAGGGACCCAACA